Syzygium oleosum is the source of this 1593-nucleotide long non-coding RNA. RefSeq lists it as uncharacterized. Lineage: Eukaryota; Viridiplantae; Streptophyta; Magnoliopsida; Myrtales; Myrtaceae. The transcript is spliced from 2 exons. The record is from RefSeq and is a predicted model, not a curated record.
CGCGUAGGCCAUCCGAUCUCAUAGAUGAAUCUGAGCUGUCCAUCUUGAGGGUUUUCUCCUCUUCUUCAGCAAACCCUUGAGAAUAGGUCGCCGUUUGCUUCCAUUCUUCCCUUGAUUUUCCAGCGUUUCCUCUCUCUUGGGUCCUCGUCUGAGCUGCGAGGAGCAUGGAUUCCCCGACCUUCAUGUGCUCCGACGAAGCCAAUCGUUGGCUUUCCUCCUGGACGGCGAGCUGGAAAAUCCGGUCGAGCACCGGCAUCGGCUCCAUUGCUAGGAUCUGGGAGCGAAAAGUUAGGUAUGUCUCGUUCAAAAUCAAAAGAAACCGAGUAGCUUUCUCCCUUUCUUUGAUAGAUCUAUACUGUUUCAGUGUUGAUUCCGGUCCCUCGAGCUUCUCCUCUGCUACCUCCAGUUUGUUCCAAAGUGACGAGAGCUUGUUGAAGCAAGCUGUGACCGUCAUAUUCCCUUGUUUCAGCUCACUGAGUUCCUGCAUUAGGGAAAUUUUUUUCGCUCGGUCUAAUUUCCCGUACAUUUCUUUGAUGUUUUCCCACAUGCACUUCGAGUCCUCGGUCGGAGGAAGUCCGGCCACGACUUCUGGAGAAAUGCAAUUGCCGAUCCAUGUUCGGACGAGUUGAUUACAUUUCCUCCAGUGUCGCGCCAGACGAUCGUCGGCGGGAAUUGAGACGGUUCUGUCGAGGAACCCGUCUUUGUCCUUCGUCACCAGGGCUCGUCGGAAUUCCUAGGACCACCUGGAAUAAUUUUCUGGUCCGGACAAUUGCUUGCUGAUGAGUCUCAGCUCCGGUCCGUCGGCGGUGGAGGUAUACAAAGGGUCGUUGGGCUCCGGGCGACCAUGGUGGGCAGGAACCGAGAACGGCCACAAUUCAGGUUGCAAUCCCGAGUUGGGAUUUGUUCCUUGACCCGACCCAUCGGAUUCGUAUGCUUGACCCAGAUGGUACAUCCCAGGCUCGGGGGUUGAGCUUGCCCUAACAUUAGCUGGUGGGCUCCCUUCAGCCUGGGUGUGUUCUCCGAAGCCUUGAAAGUUUUAGGCCUGAUUUGUUGGUCCUUGGAAAUUGUACCAUGGGUUCGAAUGAUUCGGCCCAUACCAGAGUGGAUUGAAUGGGCCUUGCAUCGGUACCCAUUGGAUAGGCUGGCCCAAAUUGGGUUGCCCCUGGUUUGGUUGAAUUUGGGCAGGAUCUCGUAGGUUGGAUUUGUUCGAUGGACUCUUGACUUGAUCUGACUUCAGUUGGAUCUUGGGGUAUUGGUUCCUGACGCGAGUCCUCAUGAGACGUAUUCUCCAGACUUCCUUCUGGAAACGGUUCUUCAGAUUUUGAAGAAUUCUUCGGCAUGGUAUUGAUUAGUUUUCUUGCAACAACAAGGAUACAAAAACACGGGAAGGCAAUCAGGAAGAAAAUUUUCGAAAUUUUGCGGAAGCUAAGUAUGAACGAGGCUCUGAUACCAUGACACGAAAUGAAGAAGAAAGAAGGAACUUGAAGAAUUUCUUUGUAUUCAGUAUGCUUUUGAUAUGUACUCUUUACAUGUAUUUAUAUUACAAAGUGUAAACAAUAAAAAGAGAAUACAAAGAUAUGAAAUCAUUCUAAA